UGGGGAAUCUUGCACAAUGGGCGAAAGCCUGAUGCAGCAACGCCGCGUGCGGGAAGAAGGCCCUCGGGUUGUAAACCGCUUUCAGAAGGAACGAAACUGACGGUACUUUCAGAAGAAGGUGCGGCCAACUACGUGCCAGCAGCCGCGGUGACACGUAGGCACCAAGCGUUGUCCGGAUUUAUUGGGCGUAAAGAGCUCGUAGGCGGUUCAGUAAGUCGGGUGUGAAAACUUUGGGCUUAACCCAAAGCGUGCAUCCGAUACUGCUGUGACUUGAGUACGGUAGGGGAGCGGGGAAUUCCUAGUGUAGCGGUGAAAUGCGUAGAUAUCUGGAGGAACACCGGUGGCGAAGGCGACAUCCUGGACCAAUUCUGACGCUGAGGAGCGAAAGCCAGGGGAGCAAACGGGAUUAGAUACCCCCGUAGUCCCUGAGCGGGCUGGCAAGGCGCAU
Molecule: ribosomal RNA, 448 nt
Filed under: uncultured bacterium
Lineage: Bacteria
Description: bacterial SSU rRNA
Rfam family: Bacterial small subunit ribosomal RNA
Source: RNAcentral